This 247-nucleotide ribosomal RNA is filed under the name uncultured bacterium. RNAcentral describes it as "partial 16S ribosomal RNA". It matches the Rfam family "Bacterial small subunit ribosomal RNA", at positions 86 to 334 of the family's 1533-position model. The record is from RNAcentral.
AGAUGGCGACCGGCGCACGGGUGAGUAACACGUAUCCAACCUGCCGAUAACUCGGGGAUAGCCUUUCGAAAGAAAGAUUAAUACCCGAUGGUAUAAUCAGACCGCAUGGUCUUGUUAUUAAAGAAUUUCGGUUAUCGAUGGGGAUGCGUUCCAUUAAGCAGUUGGUGAGGUAACGGCUCACCAAACCUUCGAUGGAUAGGGGUUCUGAGAGGAAGGUCCCCCACGUUGGAACUGAGACACGGUCCAA